UGGGGAAUAUUGCACAAUGGAGGGAACUCUGAUGCAGCGACGCCGCGUGAGGGAUGGAGGCCUUCGGGUUGUAAACCUCUUUCAGUAAGGGUGAAGGCUCUCUUUUGUGGAGGGUUGACAGUACUUGCAGAAGAAGCGCCGGCUAACAACGUGCCAGCAGCCGCGGUAAUACGUAGGGCGCGAGCGUUAUCCGGAAUUAUUGGGCGUAAAGAGCUUGUAGGCGGUUCGUCGCGUCUGGUGUGAAAGCCCAUCGCUUAACGGUGGGUUUGCGCCGGGUACGGGCGGGCUAGAGUGCAGUAGGGGAGACUGGAAUUCCCGGUGUAACGGUGGAAUGUGUAGAUAUCGGGAAGAACACCAAUGGCGAAGGCAGGUCUCUGGGCUGUUACUGACGCUGAGAAGCGAAAGCGUGGGGAGCGAACAGG
RNAcentral lists this ribosomal RNA (422 nucleotides) under Verrucomicrobiota bacterium. RNAcentral's name for it is "Verrucomicrobia bacterium partial 16S ribosomal RNA". It matches the Rfam family "Bacterial small subunit ribosomal RNA", at positions 355 to 776 of the family's 1533-position model. The record is from RNAcentral. Lineage: Bacteria; Pseudomonadati; Verrucomicrobiota.